This 551-nucleotide ribosomal RNA is filed under the name Trematosphaeria grisea. RNAcentral describes it as "eukaryotic LSU rRNA". The stretch from base 130 to 284 matches the Rfam family "5.8S ribosomal RNA". The record is from RNAcentral. Lineage: Eukaryota; Fungi; Ascomycota; Dothideomycetes; Pleosporales; Trematosphaeriaceae.
ACCCCCUUUGCCUAUUCUACCUCUGUACGGUCCCUUCGGCGUUGGGCGCACCCCAUGCCGAAGGGCCUUGCUCUCAACCUCUUUGUCGAAAGCCGUCUUCUUCUGAUUUGUGGGUGCACUGAAUGUUACAACUUUCAACAAUGGAUCUCUUGGCUCUGGCAUCGAUGAAGAACGCAGCGAAAUGCGAUAACGUAGUGUGAAUUGCAGAUUCCAGUGAAUCAUCGAAUCUUUGAACGCACAUUGCGCCCCCUGGUAUUCCGAGGGGCAUGCCUGUUCGAGCGUCAUGGACAAACCUCUUCAAGCGCUCUUUGCUUGGUGUUGGGCGGCUGUCCCCUGCGCGCGCGCUUGUAGCGCGUUGUGGGGGGGGACUCGCCUCAAAGGUAUUGGCAGCUGGGCUGUCUUGCGCCCCCUCUUUCUGCGCCGUAGCUUUUGCGCGCAAGCUGGGGUGGGCCGGCAGCUGCGGCAUACCAGCAAGCACAUGCCCCCCAUGUUUGACCUCGAAUCAGGUAGGAGCACCCGCUGAACUUAAGCAUAUCAAUAAGCGGAGGAAA